UAGCGAGUACUACGACAUUAUAGAGCACAACAUCAACCGAAAAACGAAGAGAAAAGAAACCAACAUUAUACUUUCCAAUUACCAGGCGCCCAUAGCCUAUUUUUCUCUGAUUCCAAUCAAAAUUCGCAUUCAAUAUCACAAUAUUAGAUAAUAAUUUUAAAUAAAGAAAAGAGAGAUCAGCGAAUGCACUAAGCAACUAAAAAUAAAAUUUAAAAUAAGAAGAAAAGAAUUGAAGAAGAACGAAGAAGACGAUGAAUGGGAAAAAAUAAAAUGACUUGCCUGGUAAAUAGAGGAGGAGAGGAGAGUUGUCCAAGCGAGAC
Molecule: unclassified non-coding RNA, 320 nt
Filed under: Hevea brasiliensis (rubber tree)
Lineage: Eukaryota; Viridiplantae; Streptophyta; Magnoliopsida; Malpighiales; Euphorbiaceae
Source: RNAcentral